UACAGGGGGUGCAAACGUUGCUCGGAAUCAUUGGGCGUAAAGCGCACGUAGGCGGUUCGUUAUGUCGGAUGUGAAAGCCCUUGGCUUAACCGAGGAAGUGCAUCCGAAACUGGCGAGCUAGAGUACGAAAGAGGAUCGCGGAAUUCCCGGUGUAGAGGUGAAAUUCGUAGAUAUCGGGAGGAACACCGGUGGCGAAGGCGGCGAUCUGGGUCGAUACUGACGCUGAGGAGCGAAAGCAUGGGGAGCGAACAGG
This 253-nucleotide ribosomal RNA is filed under the name uncultured bacterium. RNAcentral describes it as "partial 16S ribosomal RNA". It matches the Rfam family "Bacterial small subunit ribosomal RNA", at positions 524 to 776 of the family's 1533-position model. The record is from RNAcentral.